Mercenaria mercenaria is the source of this 2641-nucleotide long non-coding RNA. RefSeq lists it as uncharacterized. The transcript has 4 exons. Lineage: Eukaryota; Metazoa; Mollusca; Bivalvia; Venerida; Veneridae. The record is from RefSeq and is a predicted model, not a curated record.
GACAUAGUACUAGAGCCGAUUUACGCAAUCGAAUACCGCCGGAAGUAGAACAUUUAUGUCAACACCGGUUUCGUAUUUUCACGUGAAAACGGCCGAAAACUGAGAGGUUAUCAACAAAUUAUAAGUUUACGGGUACCAUGAGGAUUUUUCAUGCAUUUAAACGGGUUUCCAACAUGUCCAGUCAGGUUGACAGAAGUGGAAGAUGGUCUGAUGAAGUUUAACAUGUCAAAGUGUAAACUGUUCCGUAGAUUCAUAUGAUGAGAAUGCCAGUGUUGAUGUGUAUGACUUAUUUAAACACAGAUAUUGAUACAUUCAGAUAUAUACCUGUGACAUCUUCAGUGUCACCGUUCAGCUGUUGUUCAAGAUCAGUGUCUGCAGCUUGCACAGUUUAGUAUAGAGGAGCCUUCUGAAUCAGUUUUGUUACAUAUUUGCUGUUAUUAUAGGACAUACAUGUAGAGAGCAGCAAGUCCUGUCCAGCCGUGCAUGUAAUUGUGAUUCAGAAACUUUGAGAAUAUGUAAACAUUACACUGUUAUAAUUUUCAAAAUACUGUGUCGUGUAGUUUAUCAGUACUGUUUUGUCUCAGUUUAUAACAUAGUAUGUUCACAAAUCAAACUUAAGAUCAUAAUGAUCAGUAUUAUUAAAAUCAUUAAUUAUUUGUAUGGUGACAAAAUUUAAUUUCAUGAAAUACCACAGUAAAACGUUUGAUAAUUUCCGCUUUUAAAGUUGUAAGUUUAAAGUUGGCAUCAAUUGUUUUUCUCCUUCAUCAAUCUAAAAAGUGAUUGGUCAUUGUAAUUGCAAUAUCAUUUUAGUAUGACAAAGUUUAUAUUGAACUAAAACACUAAUGUAAAUUUUUGAACUGGUCAUUGCAUUUUCUUCAGUCUUAAAACAUGUUUAUCGUACGUGUCAUGGCCAGUAACUCCUCUAUAUUUCUUGUGUUUUGUCCUUUUUAGUUUCACUGAAGAAUAGGUAGAGGUGUUGCACAUCCAUUUUUUAGCAUCCUGAUUUUGUAAAGUGUUGUAUGUAAGCUUUUAUCUCAGAAUUAUGUCUCAUCUAAAGGGUGGAGAGGUAUUGUUUAUGCCUUCUCGUCUGUCAGCAUUAAGCUUGUCCGGCCUUAAGAGGACAAACUGCUGGCCAGAUUCUGAUGAAACUUCACAGGACUGAUCAGUACCAUGCAUAGUGUUGUGCAUAUCGCUUGCAUGUUUCGUUUCGCUGCACUAAAUUGCAGCUAGAGCUAAAAAUAGAAAAAUUCUUGUCGGCUUUCAUAGGUCAAAACUACAUAACAGAUUUUGAUGAAACUUCACAGGAGUUAUCAGUACCUAGUAUAUUUUUGCAUUUCACCGGCACUUUCCAGUUUGCUGCAAACAAUAGCCGCCAAAGCAAAAGGUAUACAUAGAAGGGAGACAUGUUUUGUCAUAAAAAUACUUAAAACACCUUCCACUUUGUUAAUGAAAAAUGUAUCAAACAAGAAAUAAUUUGACAUUAAAUACACUAGUUCCAUAACUGCAUUUGGUUUUUUACACAAUUAUUCUCCUUUUCUUACCAUAGCAAUAUUUUGUGUAACAUGUUACCUCAUUAAGCAUCAUAAGAUCAGAAAGUUCUAUGACUCAGAAAUGUUGGCCCGUUAGUACUUGUCAUGUGUAUGCUUUCAGUAUUUUAUAUUGUCAUUACUUUUUGUUGUGCCAGUUUGCGAAAAUGAAGACUUAACUGUCCAAAUGGUGUGCCUGUGCCUGUGCCUGUGCCUGUCCUGAUUAGUUUGUCUGGACAAUAUAUUAUUGAUUAGUCUUCACGAAAGUAUGCAGGUUAAGUUCCCUGUCAAGUUUAAAUAGUGGCAUGGUUACUUUAGAAACUCUAAAGUGAUGUCACCACUGCACUAGUAGAACGUUUUGUAUUUCAGGUUUUAUAUCACAUUACAGGCUAUUGGUCUUUAGCAGCCUUCAUUAAACUUUCAUAAAAUUUUCCAAAAUGUUGUAUUUUAAUUUGAACUGGCAUUAUUCAAACAGUAAGAAGUAGUACUAUAAAGCAACAUUUGACCUCUUUUCCAGUACUUUUUUAUUUUCUCUGUUAUUAUGAAAUUGCCUUUUCCUAGAAAUUGGUUGGCUUAUUUUUGAUGAUCUUAUGUUUUUAAUGAAUUGUAGCUAUGUUCUUUAUCUCGUGAAAAUGUUCAAAGUGCAAUACCACAUACCUAUCACUUUCAUUAACAUACUUGUACUUUUUUCAUAAAAAAUUAUAUAAAUCAUUACAUUUCAUAUAAACAGAAUUAAAUAAAUAUUUCAGAACAUCAGUGUUUUCUUUGAUUGCUACAUGAAACAGACCAUAGGUCAAUUUAGGGUCAACUCUGACACUUUAUAUGCAAACUGAUAAGGGAGAUAACUAGUACUGUCUUAAGUAACCAAUAUUUAGUUGCACAGUUACCUUCCCUUUACACAGGUAGAACAAUUUGUUGUUGAUCAUCUUUUGAACAUUAUUUCAUUACUGAUGACAGAACAUUGAAAACAAAAGUUGUUGUAUCAUGCAAUUAGAUCAUCUAUAACAAUAUAUACAUUUUAUUCCCUUUUUUAAAUGUUCUUUAAAUUAGGUACUAUGCCUAGUUAUUGUGAGCAUAUUUUAAUUUUUCUUGCUUGUGAAGUUGGUGACACGACG